Molecule: ribosomal RNA, 358 nt
Filed under: uncultured microorganism
Description: bacterial SSU rRNA
Rfam family: Bacterial small subunit ribosomal RNA
Source: RNAcentral
GCGCACCAGGCGCGAAUCUUCCACAAUGGACGAAAGUCUGAUGGAGCGACGCCGCGUGCGGGAUGAAGGCCUUAUGGGUUGUAAACCGCUGUCAGGGGGGAAGAACAUCGGAAUGAACAAUACUCAUUCCGACUGACGUUACCCCCAGAGGAAGCUCCGGCCAACUCCGUGCCAGCAGCCGCGGUAAUACGGGGGGAGCAAGCGUUGUCCGGGAAUUAUUGGGCGUAAAGAGCGUGUAGGCGGCGAGGUAAGUCGAAUGUGAAAUCUCACGGCUCAACCGUGAAACUGCGUUCGAAAACUACCCUGCUUGAGUACGGGAGAGGUGUACGGAAUUCCUGGUGUAGCGGUGGAAUGCGUA